GUCCCUAACAUCAUCACCGCAUUCACUGCAAUAGGCAGCAAGCAGAGGAGUCCAGGACGAAUCCAUAUUCUCGGAGGCGCAGAAGUACGCCGGCGGAGCUCGCGACGAUCUGAAGAUCUUCCAUGAAGCUAUCCUUGGCGGAGCUAUAGAUCGAGCUCCCACAUCAGUCAUUUGAAGGUGUUUGUGCUUGACAAUCUGAUGUUGGGGGAACUUUCGAAACCAACGGGGCAAAACCCACGGAUUGCAUUGUACGACUAUGAGUCCGUGAAGAAGAUGGUCGAAAAGGUCUCAGUCAAUCUAGGCGGUGGUGAUUUUUCUUACCACGGGGCAUUAGUGAGGAUUUGCACAGAUAAGGGCGAAGUCAAUGGACGAACGUCCGUAGACGGAUGCAUAGCAAAACCAUUUCCCACGACCAAGAGGGUAGCUAGCCCAUGCAUCCCAAUCAUGCGCGCAAGCUAUGCGAAACUGGGGCCGCAUGACUUUUCUAACCACCUAAGGAUCCAUUACCCCAGCAUCAUAAGAGGAACCGUUGUAACUUUAAUUUCAGGUUUCACUUAGUCAGUAAGUGGUUGAGUAGCUUUUCCGCCUUUUCCGCUAUGGGCUAACACAAUCCUUGACGUUGCAGUCAGGUGAGAAGCUAGGUAUUUUGCUCAGAGAGCACAAUGCUAGAGGACUAGCUAAUGCCGUUGAAUUGCGGCAGGCGUUCCAAGCGUCGAUGUUUAACUUCGCACACAAGGUUGUCGCUUGCAUCGCCGACACCUGCACAUGUUACAAAUUAGCUAGGCGUAAGCAAUGUGUACUUAAGACGCAGGCAACGGAUGUGCCUGAGACACAAGACUUGGUCAACCUGAACUAUCAGACACCAGUACGGAGGAGAACAACUGGCCCAACCGACAACAUUUCUGGAUGUGGAGAAAGCUCUGCUAUCCAUGAAUCGGGGUCACACAAGAGGAGCACUCGUGUUAGCACCGGAACAAGCUAUGAGACGGCCAUUUCGAACAAGAAGAUUUGUGUCAGUCAGCCACAGUUUGAUCAUGUGAAAGACGGACAACCACAAAAUGACCCACUCAACAUAAACAGCGACGAAGCUAAGAUUGUGAGGAGUGUUUACAAUUUAUACGAUGAUCUAUCUGCAAUACUGGUAACAUACUAUGCGGAACUGCGUCCGAAUGUAGGCUAUGAACUAUUUGGAACAACUACAGAAACCGAAGCUGUACGGACUGCACUCCCUAUAACAACCAUCGCUCGUGAGCCAUGGGCUGCUGGUUCACUACCUGCACCACCCUCCCAAACUGUCUUAACGGCGAUACAUGACUGGUUCUCACGGGCAUCAUCGGUCCAACUUGACAGGAUAUGGAUUGUGCAUCCCAAUCCUAGGAUGGUAUCUCUUACUGGAAUCCAUGUCCAGCAAUAGCUGACAGGACAAGAACCCCUCAUGCAUGAAAUGGUAGUCGUGUUGAUGAGGCGCCUAGGGCAAAUCGACAAGUCUUUCUCUACACAGCCAGUCGUAAUGCGUUGGCGCAAAUUCCUCGACCCGGACUUUGCUACUGCUGUGUUGUCCAAUGCCGAUCCGGUUUAUGUACAAUCAAUACAAAAGAUGUUCUUCACCGGUAUUGAUGAAGCAAACCCAGCCUCGUGUAGAAUGUGGCACAUCACGGCUAUCCUAGAAGAUGGAUGGGCACUAUACUCAUUCGACAUGGUGAAGAAGAAAGUAAUUGUACUGGACCCAGCUGUAGGACCAUUCGGUUACAGUAAUAGGCGCGUGAAGAUGCACACUUAUGUGUCAAACAAGUUGCAUGCCGCACUUUUCUGGUGCAUAAACCAGUUUUACUCCUCGUGGAUAUGCUCACCUCGUGGAUGGAGUAGAGCGUUCCCCAUACUAAUGAAUUAGAAGGUCGCAAGGCAUGAGUCAGGAUUAUGUACCGUGUUCUUCGCUAAGAACUACGACGGUGAUAAACUAGCCAUCCCACUCACACGGGAGAAUCUGAAGAUCCACAAGCAAAUCAUGCUCUUCGAGUUGAUGCGUUUGGAAGGAAAUGAUUCGCUCCUACCUCAGGAUGCAUUGCAAGCAAUCAAGAACUCUUUUUGCAUCCUGUGACAUUGAAGCUCCUACCUCAGGAUGCAUUGCAAGCAAUCAAGAACUCUUUUUGCAUCCUGUGACAUUGAAACCAGUAUGCACCGUUUUCCCAUGAAACACCCAUACCGAAUGUAUGUCUCAUGUCCUACAUCCCGACAUUCUCAGAAGCACUAUGUUCAUGUUUAAUUCCCUUAUUUCAAGAAUUAACCGUGCGUCGCACC
Molecule: long non-coding RNA, 2298 nt
Organism: Hordeum vulgare subsp. vulgare (domesticated barley)
Lineage: Eukaryota; Viridiplantae; Streptophyta; Magnoliopsida; Poales; Poaceae
Exons: 9
Source: RefSeq, a predicted model, not a curated record